Molecule: long non-coding RNA, 768 nt
Organism: Camelus dromedarius (Arabian camel)
Lineage: Eukaryota; Metazoa; Chordata; Mammalia; Artiodactyla; Camelidae
Exons: 4
Source: RefSeq, a predicted model, not a curated record
GAUAACUGCGUCAGCCGAGAGGAAAGCCGCGCUAAACACUGAGAUGUAGAGAAGCAGCGUGACGAGAGACAGGCGAGUACGGAGUGGUGCCUCAGGAAUUGAUAUUUUGAAUGGGACGGCACUGGAGAGUGGGCUGUCUUCGAGGAAUUUUUGUGCUAAUUGAGGAAAGCACAAAGUACUUCAGUCUUUACUCUCGGCGAAGUGGAAUGGAUAAAAACAAAACAAAAAAGCACCUCACAUAGACAAUAAAACCACAUGCAUAAAAGACAUGGAAACUCACCUGGGAAAGAAGAGUCAGGAAAAGCUGUUAAGUCAUUGACCAGCUGAGUAAUCUCUAGCAAAAGCUUACAGGAGACAAUUUAAAACCUGGGACCCAAUGUCAGAAUCUGAGAUGUGUAUAAGAAUGGCAGUGGAGUUAUCAGGAGGGCCUUUGAUAAUGAUGCUUCCUGUUUGUCCAAAACAAGAGUACUCAUGCAGCAGGAAAGUUGAAAAGGAGCGGGAUGAGGGCUUCAGGGCUGACUCCCGAGCCCCCUCCACUCGCGGCAGAGCUCACCGCAUCGACUUCCGCGAACCGGAGCCUCCCGGCGCUCCCUCCCGGCCCAGAUAGAGGCACGACCCAGACGGUUCAGCAGGGCGAUCUCAGGGCGACAGGCAGGAGCCGCCCUUGUCCCUCCAGCGAGCGCAGCGCAGGCAGGACAUCCCGUCUGACCACGCGCCUCUGCAGACGGCUAAGGUACCACUCUCCCGUGGGCUUCCUCUCUGCGUUGU